Molecule: ribosomal RNA, 497 nt
Filed under: uncultured bacterium
Lineage: Bacteria
Description: partial 16S ribosomal RNA
Rfam family: Bacterial small subunit ribosomal RNA
Source: RNAcentral
GAUGAACGCUGGCGGCGUGCCUAAUACAUGCAAGUCGAGCGAACGGACGAGAAGCUUGCUUCUCUGAUGUUAGCGGCGGACGGGUGAGUAACACGUGGAUAACCUACCUAUAAUACUGGGAUAACUUCGGGAAACCGUAGCUAAUACCGGAUAAUAUUUUGAACCGCAUGGUUCAAAAGUGAAAGACGGUCUUGCUGUCACUUAUAGAUGGAUCCGCGCUGCAUUAGCUAGUUGGUAAGGUAACGGCUUACCAAGGCAACGAUGCAUAGCCGACCUGAGAGGGUGAUCGGCCACACUGGAACUGAGACACGGUCCAGACUCCUACGGGAGGCAGCAGUAGGGAAUCUUCCGCAAUGGGCGCAAGCCUGACGGAGCAACGCCGCGUGAGUGAUGAAGGUCUUCGGAUCGUAAAACUCUGUUAUUAGGGAAGAACAUAUGUGUAAGUAACUGUGCACAUCUUGACGGUACCUAAUCAGAAAGCCACGGCUAACUACGUG